UCCCUUGUAGCUCAGUCGGUAAAGCACCUGCCUGCAGUAUAGGAGACCCAGAUUCGAUCCCUGGGUUGGGAA
RNAcentral lists this transfer RNA (72 nucleotides) under Ovis aries (sheep). It matches the Rfam family "tRNA". Rfam says of the family: Transfer RNA (tRNA) molecules are approximately 80 nucleotides in length. Their secondary structure includes four short double-helical elements and three loops (D, anti-codon, and T loops). Further hydrogen bonds mediate the characteristic L-shaped molecular structure. tRNAs have two regions of fundamental functional importance: the anti-codon, which is responsible for specific mRNA codon recognition, and the 3' end, to which the tRNAs corresponding amino acid is attached (by aminoacyl-tRNA synthetases). tRNAs cope with the degeneracy of the genetic code in two manners: having more than one tRNA (with a specific anti-codon) for a particular amino acid; and 'wobble' base-pairing, i.e. permitting non-standard base-pairing at the 3rd anti-codon position. The record is from Rfam by way of RNAcentral. Lineage: Eukaryota; Metazoa; Chordata; Mammalia; Artiodactyla; Bovidae.